AAGUCGUAACAAGGUUUCCGUAGGUGAACCUGCGGAAGGAUCAUUAUCACGUAUCCACGUACAAACCACUGCGAACUGUUCUCCCUUUUGAAGGUGUGGGUUUGGCUUGGUCACUAGUCUCUUCUGCGUCGUGAUAGAGGAGCGAUCUAUGCCGUGAACUCGAAAGGGUUCCGCCUGUGCUUUCAAGAGUGGUUAUUAUCACGCAAACCUUUACACUUAUUAACCCCUUUAACCUUUAUGAACUGAAAUUUAAGCUUGAUGUAAGGGUCGGCUCCUAACCGGGCAUGCACUCUGAUCAAGUCUUUUAUUACGAAACUAAGAACAAUUCUUAACAACGGAUAUCUUGGCUCUGAUAACGAUGAAGAACGCAGC
This 372-nucleotide unclassified non-coding RNA is filed under the name fungal sp. RNAcentral describes it as "partial internal transcribed spacer region". The stretch from base 1 to 46 matches the Rfam family "Eukaryotic small subunit ribosomal RNA", at positions 1786 to 1831 of the family's 1831-position model. The record is from RNAcentral. Lineage: Eukaryota; Fungi.